Molecule: ribosomal RNA, 399 nt
Filed under: uncultured bacterium
Lineage: Bacteria
Description: bacterial SSU rRNA
Rfam family: Bacterial small subunit ribosomal RNA
Source: RNAcentral
GACGAACGCUGGCGGCGUGCUUAACACAUGCAAGUCGAGCGGUAAGGCCCUUUCGGGGGUACACGAGCGGCGAACGGGUGAGUAACACGUGGGUGACCUGCCCUCAGCUCUGGGAUAAGCCUGGGAAACCGGGUCUAAUACUGGAUAUGACUCCAUGACGCAUGUUGUGGGGUGGAAAGCCUUGUGCGGCUGAGGAUGGGCCCGCGGCCUAUCAGCUUGUUGGUGGGGUGAUGGCCUACCAAGGCGACGACGGGUAGCCGGCCUGAGAGGGCGACCGGCCACACUGGGACUGAGACACGGCCCAGACUCCUACGGGAGGCAGCAGUGGGGAAUCUUGCGCAAUGGGCGAAAGCCUGACGCAGCGACGCCGCGUGAGGGAUGACGGCCUGGUGUAACGUA